Molecule: long non-coding RNA, 238 nt
Filed under: Athene cunicularia (burrowing owl)
Lineage: Eukaryota; Metazoa; Chordata; Aves; Strigiformes; Strigidae
Description: lncRNA (ENSACUG00000012560.1)
Source: RNAcentral
GGAAGAUACAAGCUGUCACGAUCCCUUGCCAAUCACACGAGAACUGACCUAGGGAGAACAUCAACUGAAGGGUGGAGAUCACUACAUGCCAGGCUGCAUUCUUUCAUAGCAUCUGAAUCAUUCGUACUGUCUCCACAAGCUGAAAAUGAGAAACAGACUGGCAGGAAAGUUAAAAUUUUCAAGGUGGAAAGAGCAGGGAAUAACCUGUUUUGGGGUUGGGGUUUUUUUUUAGAUUAAA